AGAGGGAGGGAGCAGCACUGAAGCUCCGUGGCUGAGCGCUGUUUGUGCCGGCAGGACAGUGUGUGUGCUUGCCCACGCCGUGGGUGCCUGUGGCUGAUGGACAACAGAGCUGUGUGCUGGGGGCAGGAGCCCUGUGUGUCCCAGUGUCAGUGAUACCACCGUGUCCUUUACCUCCUCACCUUGUCUUUGUGGCUGUGGCCUCUGACAUGCUGGCCCCUCUGGGAGCUGUGUGUUCUGCUGUGGCGAUGCAGUGGGAGCUGUGCGGUGCCUGCCAGGGGAUGCUUUGGGCUUCCGUGGGAUUGCUUGGUUCCCAAAGUGACUGCAACUAACUCCAGGUUGGGACUGCUUCUCGGAGGAUGUCCUGGGCAUCUCCGCUUGUUUCCUUCCAGCCUCGCUACGGAGUACUUGGAGUAUUUCAUUUGUCCCUGCCAGUGGAGGACAGAGUCACAGGCCUCCAGAGGGUUAAGAGCAUCUGCCUUUACGCCAAGUGUUCGAGCAGGAAAUAAUCUGCAGAGAUACAUGUGCAGCAAUUCAACUGCUGUUGCUCUCCCAGGCUGCUGCCGCUGCUGCUCGGUGUGUGUCAGGAGCCGCGCUGCUUGCAGAAGAUGCUUUCUUGGUGUGUCCGAAGUGCUGGGCUUGGCAGCAGAGCCCCUGCUCUUAUGUCUGGGGUGAAUGUCUCCAUCCACGAGGAAUUAUGUUGACCUGCAGGCUCUGCUGGCUCAGUGAGGUCUCCGUGGCAUGUCUCCAUCCCAAUCCAGCUCUGUGCCAUCCACUAGUACAGAGUUUUGCAGAGAGCCCACUAAAGACAUACUAGCAAGACCCUGAAUCACAGACGGAGCAAAUUGACAUUGAUUGUGACCUUGUGGCCCCAAACCCUCUUGGGAUCAGCUACCGAAGGGACUGAACUUGGCUCUUUUCUGGAAAUUAUUUGCUGCCUGGGACCUUUUCCUUGUGAAUGAAGGCUGAUGGAUACACGUGUUCAGGUGACACUGUGUGACAGAUGCUCACUGUGCCCCAACGCCCUGCCCUGGCUUUGCAGCCACGCGCCAGAUGUGCAGACAGCAGCAAGGAGUUCCCUCCCCUGAGUGCAGAUGCUCUCUUUCAAGAAAGAAAAUGGUGGACCUGGGAUUCAGCUGGAGAUUGCAAAGCCUACUGCUCCUCAAGGCUGUUGGUCAGCCUUCCGCAGCUCCCAGCGGAACCAGAGGAGCUCCGCGCUGACUUCUGUAGGGUCUGAUUCACCAUGGGAGAUCAAAUGAUUUCCUGGCUCAGGUUUUGUGAAGUUCGACGUCUGCUUUGGACCCACAAUUUGGAAAAGGGAUCGCCUCUGCGGCACGGUUAAGAGACAGAUAAAGCAGUCCCAGAUGAUGAGCACUUUAAGUAGCACUGGAAUAUUACUCAGCUUGACAACAGUGUCUGUUACGCUGGAUUUUAGCUUGCAUGGUGGUCUGAUGGCUUGGUCUUUAAGCACCAAUUUGACUCUGAAUCAGAGUUUACCUACAUCCGAUCCUCUCAAUACCUCUGAGAAGGGUGAAAUCUCUCGGAUGUCAGUGAGAGAGAAGAACUGGCCAGCCCUCUUGAUCUUGGUCAUCAUCCUGCUUACCAUCGGGGGCAACAUACUGGUAAUUAUGGCUGUGUCCUUGGAGAAGAAGUUGCAGAACGCCACAAACUUCUUCCUGAUGUCCUUGGCGGUGGCAGACAUGCUGGUGGGUAUCCUGGUCAUGCCCGUGUCGCUCAUUGCAGUGCUGUAUGAUUAUGCUUGGCCUUUGCCUAAACAGUUGUGCCCUAUAUGGAUUUCCCUAGAUGUGCUCUUUUCAACUGCAUCUAUAAUGCAUCUCUGUGCCAUCUCUCUUGAUCGGUAUGUAGCAAUACGCAAUCCCAUUGAGCACAGCCGCUUCAAUUCCCGCACCAAGGCUAUUAUGAAAAUUGCUGCAGUUUGGACCAUAUCCAUAGGGAUAUCUAUGCCCAUUCCAGUCAUUGGUUUGCAGGAUGACUCCAGAGUGUUCAUCAAUGGGACCUGCGUCCUCAAUGAUGAGAACUUUGUCCUCAUUGGGUCUUUCAUGGCGUUCUUCAUCCCUCUCAUCAUCAUGGUGAUCACAUAUUGCCUGACCGUCCAGGUGCUGCAGAGACAGGCCACAGUGUUCAUGUGUGGAGAGGUGCCCAAGCAGAGGAGAAGCAGCGUGAACUGCCUCAAGAAAGAAAACAACACAGAGCACAUUUCGAUGCUUCACAACCACGAAGGGGCAUCGCAUUUGAACUCUCCUGUGAGUAAGGAGGCAGUGCUUUUUCGGAAAGGAACUAUGCAGUCCAUCAACAAUGAGCGAAGAGCCUCCAAGGUCCUGGGCAUCGUUUUCUUUUUGUUUCUCAUCAUGUGGUGCCCAUUCUUCAUCACUAACGUCAUGUCCGUCCUUUGCAAGGAAGCCUGCGAUAAAGACCUCUUGAGCGAGCUCCUCGACGUGUUUGUUUGGGUGGGGUAUGUUUGCUCAGGGGUUAAUCCCCUCGUAUACACACUCUUCAAUAAAACCUACCGCAGGGCUUUCUCCAGUUAUAUCCGCUGCCAAUACAAGACCAGCAAAAAAUCAGCACUGCGACAGAAUCAGUGCCUGAAUGUUGCUUCGACAGCUUUAUACGGGAAAGAUCUGACUUUAACUAGUUAUCGAAAUGGCAAUGAGCUCAACAGCAUGGAACUAGAUGAAGCUGAGGAGGGCCUUGAAAUGCAACCAGGGACCUCAGAGCUCUCCAUAAACAGCUGUAAUGUUGUGAGCGAAAGAGUGAGCUGUGUGUAAAGGUGGCUCACACACCUUCGACUGCGGGCCAUCUGUGGCCAAAACACAUUGUAUAAAAAUGUAAGCGUUGGUCAAUGGACGAUGUAAAUACUGCAUUCUGAACAAAGAUUUUUUUUAAGGAGAAAAAAAAAAGAUUUGUCUUUCCAGUCCAGUACUUAAAAUCAUAUAUAUUAAUAUACUGCAGUGAAGUUUAAGGUUCUAUAUUUACUGUUAAUACUAGAUCAGAUCUAGUUACUUUGCAUAUGUCAUGGACAAAAUGUUUGAAUUCUUCUUCCAGUGCAUGAACAAAAAUGCUGAAUAUUUAUCUCAGGUGGCAUUUGCUGGAGUCCAGAAUGGCACGUUAAUAGUUAUAUAUCAAAUACAUGCUAUUAGACUUGGUCAGUAUAACUUUCUUUUUCAAGUUGACAGUAAAUAUAUACUUUAAAUCCUCACCCCUAUUUGUGCCGUGUAAAGAGUGUACAGAAACCUGGCAGAGACAGCAUAAGAGCUGUAGGCAGCUGGCCAGGUGUGUCGUGGUAAGAGUCGUGGCUCACUUGCAUCCUGGGGCAACAUUUCACUACUAGGGACCAUCCUGCUGCUUCCUCUCCAUUCACCAGUUUGAUCCUAGGUUAGGAAUGUGUUUCUGGUGUGGUGUUGGGAUCGCUUGCAAACUUGGAGGGGAAGCAUGGGAAAGAGAGCCAACUUGUUAUCUGCUUUGACCAUUUUAAAAAUGGAGGGUGUCAGAUUUGUAAAAUGCCCUCUCUUGUUCUUGUAGACUCCCAUAUACUCCAGGAUGGGGGAAGCAGUACUCAGAAUGGCUGGCACUGCCUUCAAAGGACCGUUUGGAUGAUCAGGUCAUUGGUUGACCUGGAGAGGAGAGCUCUGGCUUUGUGAGAGCUCACCUUCUCCAUCCCCUCACUUCUUUAGUCGUUAGCUUGUUUUGCAUUUAUUUUUCCAGAGACAGGGAUGUGCAGUGCUGGGGGUAAAACAAUGCAUUGGAUGUAGAGCAAAAUGUGCCGUGCUCUCGGCACAGGUUGGGAGGAGGCUGCAGGAUGAAGGAUGCUCUUCCCCAGGGGAUGCUCAGGAGAGGGGCAUAAAUGAGGAUCCCUUUUUUCCCCAGACUUGGGACGGGUGUGCAGAGCUGGACAGGGUGUGUGGCUGAAACGGUUUGCUAUAGUUUAAUAACAAACUAUGAUCAGGGACAGAAAGGAAGCAGACAAGGAAUUACAACUUGGAACAUGUCUGUAUGGAAGAUUAAUCUGGAUUAUCUGUUCGGUUUGAUUUACUCAAUUUCACUCCCAAAGUAAAUGAUCCUAUAUCAUGUUAAAGCCACUUAUAUCUUAAUGAAAACAUCCACAUCAUGUUUUAAUGCAAUUGAAGUAAUCUGCUUUUAAUUCACACCAUAAGCAAUUGGAAUUAAUUCCUCUCUGUGCUCCUGUGCAGACAAACCCUGAAAGGCACCAACACGUCCUUCUGGCACAGUGCCUGUGGGCGAUGCCACUUGUGCAGUUUGCCUUGUGCAGGGUGCUGUGUGAUGCCAGAUCUAACCCGUAAUGUUUUUACAUCUUCAUUAACUAACACACAAAUGCUGCAGUCAUCCAUCUAACGUGGAUGUAUUUAGCACUGCUAACAGCCUCUGCCCAUGAAAUUCCUCAGAACAAGAAGUGUACAUGAGGCAGGGAUAAGUUGCAUUUUACUGAUGUGAACUGCUUGCACUCUAAGCUUGCUGUGCUCAUCCCCUCCAGAACCCAAGUGAAGGAGAAACACAACAUUCUGAAAGCACACUGGUGCAGUGUAGCGCUGUUGCUUUGCUGUGCACAGCAAUACCUGGCUGAGGCAGGUUGCAUCUGCUGCUGGUUUGUGUCUAGCUUGAUUCAGUGAAGCUGGUGGCCCUCUCUUGUCCUUCAUUCCGUCCUGUGCAAAAUCCGUAGUACUUCCAUGCAGGCAGGCGAGGUAUCUGAGCAAGGUGCAUGGUGUGUGUGCUGAUCUGCUGAUGAUGGUGCUGGUUGAAUGCUUGAGAAUGCACCCUGCCUGUCCAGAAAGGUCUGUAACCCACAGGAAAAGCACUGUCCAGAGACACAGACUUGUGCCUUCAAUGACUGCCCUUUGUUCUGUGUCAGAUGUGGAUAUCUCAAGUGGUACAGAAAAAUCACAAAGAUCGCAUUGCUUUCAAAAUUCUACUUUUAUUAUUUUCCUUGGGUGAAUUCACAGCUCAUCUUUUACAGCCAUAUAUUUGUCUGUGUGCAUAUAUGUGCGUGUACAUAUAUAUAUGCAUGUAUGGAUAGAAGUCAACCAGACAUGGAAAGCAUUUAGCAAUAAGUUGAAUUUCAGUAGCUUCUAGCACUUGUGUGAAUAGCUCAUUGACCACAGCGUCCUCCAACUUGUACCACACAAAGGUGUUCUCUUUGCAUAGGAGCCUUCACGUCUUACCUCUGCCAGUUCUGUUGUAUGGGCAAAAAGGGCACCUGCUCUGUUGGAUGUAAAUAACAAGACCUGAACUGAGAAUUUACAGAGUUUUUAUAAAUGUUUUUAAAAUAAUUCAGCACUGGGACUGUAAAUAUGUCGAGCGUUGCUACACAGCUGGACCCGUUCUGAUGGAUGUUCUUCUCCAGAUAACCAGACAAGGGGACUGCCUUAUAGCCUGUGUUAUCUCCCUGCCAGGGGCUGAUAACAUUUUUGGGAAUGAUUAAACACUGUCUCUUACCCAACUUCCAUUGGGUCAUUCACAUCAGGGUUUUGUGAUGCUGCUAUUAAUUUAUUAAAGAAAGAUUGUUGGUUUAAUCACUCUUUUUUUUUUUUCUUUUUUUUUUUUCUUUUUCAUGGUCUAUUGGAAAAUAAAUAAAUGGACAUGCCCUCUUUUUCUUUCCUAUUUCACCAAUUAAAACAUAUCCUGAUCAAAAAUAUAUCUGACCAAAGUUAAAAUAACAGUGAGAAAUGGAGAUAACGAUCUUUGUUUCUCCUCCCCCUCUCAGAUCAUAGCCUGUGGUUGUUUCAGCCAUAGCAAUUAGUGCAGAUAACCCAACAUUUCUACCAUGCUAAACAAAAUAAUGCUGAAAAGCAGCUGUCUUCCCCUGCUUCUCCUUCCUUCCUCCAGGAACAUCUUUUGAAAAUGAUGUUUUAAAAAUUGCUUCAGUUUGAAGAGUUAACCACCAUCACCUUGCUCUCAUAGCAGCUUUGCUAUGCUGAAUUGUAGCCAUUACCCACAAUAGUGCCUCAGGAUUACCCUCUGUGGGCCCUGGGUCAGUGCUCACAUCUCAGCUCAGGUACAGUGAUGUCUUCUGUUUGUUCUGCCUUUUGUGUUCUUUGAAGAAGAAAAGCAAACCACAAGUAGCUCUGCGUAAGUAUUAUUUAGCUUUUAAUGAGGAGUGUUUGAUGUUCUGGCAGGCAAAUGAUGGUAACUCGGUGUUCAAAUGUGGCAUCCAUCAUGUGAGAAAGAUGCAGAUGUCUCUUGGGCAGGUUUCCUCCCUGGGUCAUGGUAUGCUGAGCUGAGAACUGCACCUGGCUUUGUCUCCAUUUCUCUCCAGGCAAAGAAAACUGUCAGAAAUUCUUCCUGGGAAGGAGCUCCCAGAGGCCACCGAGACUUUGGGCGUUGUAAUGGAAGUGUACUGGUGAAAUUGGGGGUACAGGUGAAUGGCUGCAGACAUUCAAGGCCAGGCUGGAUGGGCUCUGAGCACUGAUGGAGCUGUGGGUGUCCCUGCUCAGUGCAGGGAGUUGGACCAGAUGGCCUUCAAGGGUCCCUUCCAGCUCCAACGAUUCACUGAUUCUAAGUUGCUGUAACAAAGUAUGCUUUCAUUUCUUUGUGCCUGUGAAGUUGCUAUUGACUGUUUUGUCUCUCCCUCAUUUUUCUUUGAGUCCCAGGCCUCCUGCUUUUGGCUUUUACCCACGCUCUGAGCUCAUGCUCUGGAGCUGUCAGGAGCUGACAAAUACCUACGAGGUGUGUCAUUCCCUCUUGGCUGUGCAGGGAUGCUGCAACCCCAGAACAACACAGAGAAGGAAUGUCCUCAGGUGAGAGAUUUUAAGUCUAUCUGAGACAGACAGUCAAUGCAGCAAGGCAUGUUUGCCCAUUAAACAAGCACACCAGCAGAUCUUUAAGCAACAGUUACCCAAAAAGUUAAAGGCAGAUUAGCAUGUGAACUCAAUUUUGCCAGCAGGUUGCUGGGGCAAUGCCUGCAGUUUUACCACACCAGCAUCACUUUAGUAGUGGGGGGACUGGAGAAAUGAAUCAAGCAGCAUCCAGCAGGAAUGUGUUACACCCACAGUUCUGAGCUUUCCUGUGCUCCAAUUGUAAUUACCUCAACAACAAGUCAGAUAAAUUAAUAUUUAAUUAAAAUACAGCCAAAAUAUCAAAUUUUAAUAGGAUGUAAUUGUGGCAUUUUGAGUGAUUUCAAUUGCUGAAGCAUUAAAAGCAAUCUGCAGGCUGGUGCCUGUUAGACCACUGCCUGGUUGCAAUUGCUGAAAGUGAAAGCAGUUUUACCUUUGUAUGCACCACUGCUGUGAGUGUCUCCUCCUGCAGAAACGAGCAGCAGAAUGGGAUGGUGCUGUGCUGGGUGUAAACCAGAGCCACUGAAGAUUUGAAUCAAGCUCCUGUUUGCUAACUGGAGGCUGGAGCAGCCCCUUGGUGACUUUUCGGAGAGGAAGAUUUGGGAUGUGUCAUUCAACUUGCCACAAAGCAGGCUUCCUGUCCAAGAGGACAUUAUGGGGAUCCAAACAGUCCAAGACUGCAGCCAUCUCUUUCUAAGAUGGAGGAAUUCCUUUGCAGAGGACCCAAACUUACUCUAAGAAGUACCCCAUGUAUCAGCAAAGAGAUGACUGCUACUUCUAUUUCUACUCUAUCUGUUUUAAGAGAGACAGCUGUCCCUUCUGCCACUGUGAAGUGGCUCUCGGGAGUGAACAAGUCUGCCAAACGUGGAUGGAAGGUUGCUGUUUCAGCAGGGACUGCAAGUUCAGGCACAUGAGAAUUGAUGUGUUUGCCUAAAGAUGUGCUCUCCAACUUAGUCCACAAAACCACUUUUCAUUGCUAUAGAAGAAGCACAGUGAGAUUCCCUGCUUUUGGGAGAAUCGGCCAGGAGGCUGUCAGAAAGCCCACUGCACUUUUCUUCACCUGAAGGAAGGCAGUGGGAAUGGACCGACCGUACCACCAAGCAACGAAGCUGAUGCAAGUGGCCUCCCUGUGAACAGUGGCCUUGCAGAAAGUCUGGGGAACCAGACAGAGGUUCAGAAGGCACCAGAGAGAGUUGACAUCCCAACUUCCUCCCAUGGCCUGGCUGGACAAAAAUGCAAGAGAUCUGAGGAGAGGAAGGGAAAAGCAAAGAAACUGCCUUGCAAGAAAAGACUUAAAGGUGGACACAAGGUAUCUGUGAGGCCUAUGAACUGGAAAACCACCUUUCCCAAGAUACAGAGAUGGAAGCGAAAGGCAGCAGAGAUGUGUCUGUCUGUUGCUGAGGAUGUGGAUGAGCCCCCAGC
RNA transcript from Lagopus muta (rock ptarmigan), 8225 nucleotides. It is a transcript of the gene named 5-hydroxytryptamine receptor 2C, with no coding region annotated. The record is from RefSeq and is a predicted model, not a curated record. The transcript has 11 exons. Lineage: Eukaryota; Metazoa; Chordata; Aves; Galliformes; Phasianidae.